RNAcentral lists this ribosomal RNA (490 nucleotides) under uncultured bacterium. Its description in RNAcentral is "partial 16S ribosomal RNA". It matches the Rfam family "Bacterial small subunit ribosomal RNA", at positions 30 to 507 of the family's 1533-position model. The record is from RNAcentral.
AUUGAACGCUGGCGGCAGGCUUAACACAUGCAAGUCGAACGGUAACAGGGAUCAGCUUGCUGAUUCGCUGACGAGUGGCGGACGGGUGAGUAAUGUCUGGGAAACUGCCUGAUGGAGGGGGAUAACUACUGGAAACGGUAGCUAAUACCGCAUAACGUCGCAAGACCAAAGAGGGGGACCUUCGGGCCUCUUGCCAUCGGAUGUGCCCAGAUGGGAUUAGCUAGUAGGUGGGGUAACGGCUCACCUAGGCGACGAUCCCUAGCUGGUCUGAGAGGAUGACCAGCCACACUGGAACUGAGACACGGUCCAGACUCCUACGGGAGGCAGCAGUGGGGAAUAUUGCACAAUGGGCGCAAGCCUGAUGCAGCCAUGCCGCGUGUAUGAAGAAGGCCUUCGGGUUGUAAAGUACUUUCAGCGGGGAGGAAGGGAGUAAAGUUAAUACCUUUGCUCAUUGACGUUACCCGCAGAAGAAGCACCGGCUAACUCCGUG